Long non-coding RNA from Vombatus ursinus (common wombat), 1400 nucleotides. RefSeq lists it as uncharacterized. The record is from RefSeq and is a predicted model, not a curated record. NCBI's taxonomy places the organism in Eukaryota, Metazoa, Chordata, Mammalia, Diprotodontia, Vombatidae. The transcript is spliced from 7 exons.
UUUACAUUCAGACAACGUGGCCAGCCUAUCAGUGUUGCACUCUGUUCAGUAGAGUUUGAGUGCUUGGCAGUUCGGCUCAAGAAAGGACCUCAGUGUCUGGUAUCUCAUCCUGCCAGGUGAUCUUCAGAAUCUUCCCGAGACAGUUCAAAAGGAAGCCAUUCAGUUUCCUGGCAUGGAGCUUCGUAUACUGUCCGGGUUUCACAGGCAUAAAACAAUGAGGUCAGCACAACGGCUCUGUAGACCUUCAGACCAGCAGUCAGUCUCAUACCUCUUCUCUCCCACACUUUCCUUCGGAGCCUCCCCAACACUGAGCUGGCUCUGGCGAUGUGUGUGUAUCAACCUCGUUAUCAUUGUGUACAUCUCUGGAAAGUACACUGCCAAGGACUGAUGAUGAAACCUACUGCCUUCCUCUUGACAAAGAAGUUAUGGAGUCAAGAUGCUGCAUGAUACACAUGUUUUUUAGAAACAAUCAAUGUGGGAAUUUGUUAUGAGAGUUUCAUUCGUCGUCCCCCCCUGCCCUCAUGGAUGGAAAGAGCCCUAGGAGAGGAUGGUCACCCAAUGUUUGCAUCAUCUCUAGCCUAGCAAGCAGUUUCUUCUUGUUAGUAAUCAUUGGAUUCAGAACAGAAUCUCCCCGUGUUGCUUCUACUUUGAAGACUGAAAUGAUCACUAAGCCCAGCUUCUCAAGACUGCCUUUUCCCAGACCGGGGCUCGAUGAAGGAAUGACUUCCAGGCUGCUCCCAGCCAGCCUCCAGCACCCGGUGACAUUCAGGGAUGGGUCUGUGGACUUCACCUGGGAGGAGUGGAGGCACCUGAGCCUGGCCUAGAGGGACCUGUACAGAGACGUGAUGCUGGAGAACUAUGAGAACCUGGUGUCUGUGGGAGCAGGGUUUCCAGUUGCCAAACCCAAUGUGAUCUCUCAGUUGGAGAGAGGAAAAGCACUACGUAGGCCCAUGGCAGAAGUGCCAAGAAACACCUGCCCAGAUUCACUUAGACAGGAAAUUACGUAUGAAACAAGGGACUCCACUCUGAUGCCUGGCAUUUGCCUGAAAACAUUGGCCAAUGGAAGACUACUGAAGGAUAACCCCUUCUAUUCCAAGUUUAGAAAAUUCAGUGAACAGGAAAUUGGGUUAGAGAAACAAGAAGGCAACCAGGAGAGACACUCCCAACAAGUGUUAGUCACUCACCAAAAUGCAUUUGAGAAGGAGAAGGUCACUGAAUGUAAUACAUUUGUGAGUCAUGGUAGUCUGACUCCAGUCUUUUUUCCACAUUGGAAAGCUUCCCCCAAGAAACAUUUACAUAAAUAUAAAACCUAUGGAAAGCAUUUAAGACACUUUUUGGACAGAAUUCAUUGUAAUCCAAUCUCAUGGAAGAAGCUUUGUAAAUAAAACAAAUGCACAAAA